Molecule: ribosomal RNA, 710 nt
Filed under: uncultured bacterium
Lineage: Bacteria
Description: bacterial SSU rRNA
Rfam family: Bacterial small subunit ribosomal RNA
Source: RNAcentral
AGCGGCGGACGGGUGAGUAACGCGUGGGUAACCUGCCCUGUACACACGGAUAACACACCGAAAGGUAUGCUAAUACGAGAUAAUAUGCUUUUAUCGCAUGGUAGAAGUAUCAAAGCUCCGGCGGUACAGGAUGGACCCGCGUCUGAUUAGCUAGUUGGUAAGGUAACGGCUUACCAAGGCGACGAUCAGUAGCCGACCUGAGAGGGUGAUCGGCCACAUUGGAACUGAGACACGGUCCAAACUCCUACGUGAGGCAGCAGUGGGGAAUAUUGCACAAUGGGCGAAAGCCUGAUGCAGCAACGCCGCGUGAGCGAUGAAGGCCUUCGGGUCGUAAAGCUCUGUCCUCAAGGAAGAUAAUGACGGUACUUGAGGAGGAAGCCCCGGCUAACUACGUGCCAGCAGCCGCGGUAAUACGUAGGGGGCUAGCGUUAUCCGGAAUUACUGGGCGUAAAGGGUGCGUAGGUGGUUUCUUAAGUCAGAGGUGAAAGGCUACGGCUCAACCGUAGUAAGCCUUUGAAACUGGGAAACUUGAGUGCAGGAGAGGAGAGUGGAAUUCCUAGUGUAGCGGUGAAAUGCGUAGAUAUUAGGAGGAACACCAGUUGCGAAGGCGGCUCUCUGGACUGUAACUGACACUGAGGCACGAAAGCGUGGGGAGCAAACAGGAUUAGAUACCCUGGUAGUCCACGCCGUAAACGAUGAGUACUAGCUGU